GAUGAACGCUGGCGGCGUGCUUAAUACAUGCAAGUCGAACGAAGCACCUUGGACAGAAUCCUUCGGGAGGAAGACCAUUGUGACUGAGUGGCGGACGGGUGAGUAACGCGUGGGUAACCUGCCUUGUACAGGGGGAUAACAGUUGGAAACGACUGCUAAUACCGCAUAAGCGCACAGUACCGCAUGGUACGGUGUGAAAAACUCCGGUGGUACAAGAUGGACCCGCGUCUGAUUAGCUAGUUGGUGAGGUAACGGCCCACCAAGGCGACGAUCAGUAGCCGACUUGAGAGAGUGAUCGGCCACAUUGGGACUGAGACACGGCCCAAACUCCUACGGGAGGCAGCAGUAGGGAAUAUUGCACAAUGGGGGAAACCCUGAUGCAGCGACGCCGCGUGAAGGAAGAAGUAUUUCGGUAUGUAAACUUCUAUCAGCAAGGAAGAAAAUGACGGUACUUG
This 455-nucleotide ribosomal RNA is filed under the name uncultured bacterium. RNAcentral describes it as "bacterial SSU rRNA". It matches the Rfam family "Bacterial small subunit ribosomal RNA", at positions 28 to 481 of the family's 1533-position model. The record is from RNAcentral.